AGGGAAUCUUGCGCAAUGGGCGAAAGCCUGACGCAGCAACGCCGCGUGGGGGAAGAAGGCCUUCGGGUUGUAAACCCCUUUCAGGAGGGAAGAAAAUGACGGUACCUCCAGAAGAAGCACCGGCCAACUACGUGCCAGCAGCCGCGGUAAUACGUAGGGUGCGAGCGUUAUCCGGAAUCAUUGGGCGUAAAGAGCUCGUAGGCGGUUCAACAAGUCGGCUGUGAAAGUCCGGGGCUCAACCCCGGAAUUGCAGUCGAUACUGUUGUGACUUGAGUCCGGUAGAGGAGAAUGGAAUUCCCGGUGUAGCGGUGGAAUGCGCAGAUAUCGGGAGGAACACCAGUAGCGAAGGCAGUUCUCUGGGCCGGCACUGACGCUGAGGAGCGAAAGCGUGGGGAGCAAAC
RNAcentral lists this ribosomal RNA (401 nucleotides) under uncultured bacterium. RNAcentral describes it as "bacterial SSU rRNA". It matches the Rfam family "Bacterial small subunit ribosomal RNA", at positions 356 to 773 of the family's 1533-position model. The record is from RNAcentral.